UACAGAGGUCCCAAGCGUUGUUCGGAUUUACUGGGCGUAAAGGGUGCGUAGGUGGCCAGGAAAGUCUGAUGUGAAAGCCCCGAGCUCAACUCGGGAACUGCAUUGGAUACUACUUGGCUUGAGGAUCGGAGGGGAGACUGGAAUUCUCGGUGUAGCAGUGAAAUGCGUAGAUAUCGAGAGGAACACCAGUGGCGAAGGCGAGUCUCUGGACGAUUCCUGACACUGAGGCACGAAAGCUAGGGGAGCAAACAGGAUUAGAUACCCUGGUAGUCCUAGCCGUAAACGGUGCACACUUGCUGUAGGCGGAUUCGACCCCGCCUGUGGCGGAGCAAACGCGUUAAGUGUGCCGCCUGGGGAGUACGGUCGCAAGAUUAAAACUCAAAGAAAUUGACGGGGGCCUGCACAAGCGGUGGAGUAUGUGGCUUAAUUCGAUGCAACGCGAAGAACCUUACCUGGCCUUGACAUGCAUCUCUAAGCGUGUGAAAGCACGUGACCCCUCGGGGGAUUUGCACAGGUGCUGCAUGGCUGUCGUCAGCUCGUGUCGUGAGAUGUUGGGUUAAGUCCCGCAACGAGCGCAACCCUCAUGUUUUGUUGCCACUUCCGCAUGCGCGGAAAGCACUCUAAACAGACUGCCUCGUAUCAACGAGGAGGAAGGUGGGGAUGACGUCAAGUCAGUAUGGCCCUUACGGCCAGGGCUGCACACGUACUACAAUGCCCGGUACAAUGGGAAGCAAUAUCGUGAGGUGGAGCAAAUCCUCAAAACCGGGCCCAGUUCAGAUUGUAGUCUGCAACUCGACUACAUGAAGUCGGAAUCGCUAGUAAUGGCGCAUCAGCUGCAGCGCCGUGAAUACGUUCCCAGGCCU
This 863-nucleotide ribosomal RNA is filed under the name uncultured bacterium. RNAcentral's name for it is "SSU rRNA". It matches the Rfam family "Bacterial small subunit ribosomal RNA", at positions 524 to 1381 of the family's 1533-position model. The record is from RNAcentral.